AUGACGAGGAGACCAACCAAGAAGGGGCAAGCCAAAGCCAAAUUCCCUGACAGUCUGUUCAUCUCCAGCAUGUGGAAAGUGCUGCUCCUGGGUCUGUAUGUAGUAUUGGCUGUGAGAGGAUUGGCAAAGGGUGCUCCUUUCCAUCCAGAAGAGAAAUGGAAGCCUCUUGAUAACCCCAGAAACAGAGACCUGUUUUUCAGAACGCUCCAGGCUUACUUCUUGGGCAGGGGUCUCGAUCUCAGAAAGUUCCCAGCUACUUUCCCUGUGAACAGUGAAGGACCAGGGCCUGUCACGUUCUACUCAGAUCCUAUUGCUUCUGCAUUUGCAGAUUAUGAAGAAAGGAAAAAAUCUUUUCAGAACUAUUUUGAAGGCUGAAAGAUUCUGCUGAUGAAGGUAUUAACUUAAGACCUCCAUACCAAGUGGAAAACUUCACAGCAAAAUUUUACUGUUUUGACUUUUUUGUUACCUGACAAUUCAAAAUUUUCUUCACUGUCACUGUUUCUGCCAGUGGAAUCUGGUGUCCUGCUGUAAUGGGCAUUAUUCUGUCUGUUGACAAAUGCGUGCUGUUUGGCUACUGCAGUUUGUGAGCAGAAUUGUGCUUAACUGUGAAUAAAUGAGGAGUGCAACCGCGUGCA
This 635-nucleotide long non-coding RNA is filed under the name Cyanistes caeruleus (blue tit). Its description in RNAcentral is "lncRNA (ENSCCEG00000014193.1)". Lineage: Eukaryota; Metazoa; Chordata; Aves; Passeriformes; Paridae. The record is from RNAcentral.